GACGAACGCUGGCGGCGUGCUUAACACAUGCAAGUCGUACGGUAAGGCCCUUUCGGGGGUACACGAGUGGCGAACGGGUGAGUAACACGUGAGUAACCUGCCCACAACUUUGGGAUAACGCUAGGAAACUGGUGCUAAUACUGGAUAUGUGCUCCUGCUGCAUGGUGGGGGUUGGAAAGCUCCGGCGGUUGUGGAUGGACUCGCGGCCUAUCAGCUUGUUGGUGGGGUAGUGGCCUACCAAGGCGGCGACGGGUAGCCGGCCUGAGAGGGUGACCGGCCACAUUGGGACUGAGAUACGGCCCAGACGCCUACGGGAGGCAGAAGUGGGGAAUAUUGCACAAUGGGCGCAAGCCGGAUGCAGCAACGCCGCGUGCGGGAUGACGGCCUUCGGGUUGUAAACCGCUUUCAGCAGGGACGAAGCUUUUUGUGACGGUACCUGCAGAAGAAGCACCGGCUAACUACGUG
This 465-nucleotide ribosomal RNA is filed under the name uncultured bacterium. Its description in RNAcentral is "partial 16S ribosomal RNA". It matches the Rfam family "Bacterial small subunit ribosomal RNA", at positions 28 to 507 of the family's 1533-position model. The record is from RNAcentral.